This 429-nucleotide ribosomal RNA is filed under the name Gemmatimonadota bacterium. RNAcentral's name for it is "Gemmatimonadetes bacterium partial 16S ribosomal RNA". It matches the Rfam family "Bacterial small subunit ribosomal RNA", at positions 355 to 776 of the family's 1533-position model. Lineage: Bacteria; Pseudomonadati; Gemmatimonadota. The record is from RNAcentral.
UAGGGAAUCUUCGGCAAUGGACGAAAGUCUGACCGAGCAACGCCGCGUGAGUGAAGAAGGUUUUCGGAUCGUAAAACUCUGUUGUUAGAGAAGAACAAGGACGUUAGUAACUGAACGUCCCCUGACGGUAUCUAACCAGAAAGCCACGGCUAACUACGUGCCAGCAGCCGCGGUAAUACGUAGGUGGCAAGCGUUGUCCGGAUUUAUUGGGCGUAAAGCGAGCGCAGGCGGUUUCUUAAGUCUGAUGUGAAAGCCCCCGGCUCAACCGGGGAGGGUCAUUGGAAACUGGGAGACUUGCGUGCAGAAGAGGAGAGUGGAAUUCCAUGUGUAGCGGUGAAAUGCGUAGAUAUAUGGAGGAACACCAGUGGCGAAGGCGGCUCUCUGGUCUGUAACUGACGCUGAGGCUAGAAAGCGUGGGGAGCAAACAGG